UUUGGUUUGCCGCCGGGUAAACAGGAAAGCAUUGGUUUCCGCGUCGUUAGGCCGUAGAAGACGCGGAGGGCAAUGCUUUAUUUUU
RNAcentral lists this non-coding RNA (85 nucleotides) under unclassified sequences. The record is from RNAcentral.